RNAcentral lists this ribosomal RNA (276 nucleotides) under uncultured haloarchaeon. RNAcentral's name for it is "partial 16S ribosomal RNA". It matches the Rfam family "Archaeal small subunit ribosomal RNA", at positions 408 to 686 of the family's 1478-position model. Lineage: Archaea; Methanobacteriati; Methanobacteriota; Halobacteria; Halobacteriales; Halobacteriaceae. The record is from RNAcentral.
CCUGUACUGUAGGGUAGUACAGUAUCAAGAGCUGGGCUAGACCGGUGCCAGCCGCCGCGGUAAUACAGGCAGCUCGAGUGAUGGCCAAUCUUAUUGGGCCUAAAGCGUCCGUAGCUGGGCGCGCAAGUCCGUCGGGAAAUCCAUCAGCCCAACUGAUGGGCGUCCGGGGGAAACGGCACGGCUUGGGACCGGAAGGCUCGAGAGGUACGUCCGGGGUAGGAGUGAAAUCCSGUAAUCCCGAAGGGACCACCGAUGGCGAAAGCAUCUCGAGAAAAC